ACGCGUUUCGCGCGCGGUGGCCCGAACGAACGAACGAACGCCCGAAAAAUCGGAAUCGCACGCAGUUGUUUUUAUCGACCGGACUCGCCGAUUCGUCGAACACGUCCGGCGGCCACGCGGAACGCUCCGUAGUGCAUUGUUGUUAUCGCGACGCUUCGUUUCGGGGGGGGAGGGGGGUGUCGACUAUUAUUCGAUCCCGUCCCACUUACGAUUUUUCAAUGUUGACCAUUACCCGCGUGGACGGCCGCGGAAAAACGGUCCCGGCGCCGCCGUGUGCUGCAGCGUCGUCGUUACUCACUUGGUCGUUUCGCGUCGUGGAAAAAAAGAAAAAAAAAACAACGAUUUUCUUAUUGUUUCCGUUUAUUUUCGCGUGCGUGUCGAGUGGAAAACUGUCGUAGAGAAAAAAAAAGAAAAAAAAACCGCGCCUUCCCCCCCGGUUUUCUGCUUAUACGCAUCGCGUCCGUCCCGUUGACCGUGUUUCGUUGACAUAAGAAUAUUAUAUUAUUAUUAUGGGCACGUGUUUAGGGUAAAUAAAACGUGCGGAAAACGUGAUCGAAUAGAGUUCCCGAAUAAUCGAGUUUUUUCGAGUGUUGAUUCGGGAAUAAAAAAAAAAAAAAUCUCGGCGUUUUUUCCUCCCCUUCGCGCGUAAUUACAUAAGCCCGUAUUUAUUGCGAUCGAUCGCGGAUAUUAUAAUUUUUGAUACGACGAUUUGUCAAUAUCCCGCGGGUCGUCGUUUAUUCUUACCGGGCGUUACGGCGGCAGAGGGAUUACUCGAUUGCACAACAAUAAUUGUUGUACCAGGGGGAGGGGAUGGUAGGGGGAUAGGUACCGCUUCGCCGGCAGUGUGUAACAGCGAUGGCGGGACGGGCAGGCGGAUUCGCGUUCGCGCGCAGAACCACGCAGUAGUUUUCCCCGCAGUAGGGGUUUUCUCGACAGUCCGAAAAGAGAAAAAAAAAAAACCGUAGGAGAAUUUACGGCGAUUGUCCGAAAACUGCCGCGCGCGCGCAAUAAACGAUGAUAUAACAACCGACGUGGAGGUUCGGUGAAAUUUUCGAAACGUUCUGGCGGUUUUUUCCGCGUUCUCCGUGUUUUUACAGGUACGACGGCCGCGCAACGCGGGAUGCGACGUCGUUCGUAGCAGCGGACGAAAAUUACGGAACUACCAAACACGUUUUGACAGACCCGCGCGUUCGGAACCGCGUUUUUCGUUGGCAGCGCGACGUUCACGGUGUCCGAACGGCGGAGCGGGGUACGGGGAAAGACGGAGCGAUAGAAUACAAUGUAAUAAUGUAUUACGCACAAUAAUACUUUUGUAUAGCGUCUUUGGUGCGUGUGUAACGUGCAUAGAGACGUCAGAGUUUCGCGCGGCGGCGGCGGCGGAGGAGUUUGCGCGGCGUCAGAGUGCAAGAUCGUAACGCGCGCGGCGGAGGGGGCGAGAGAGAGCCGUUCACGAAAAAGGAGUGAAAGGAAAGAGGUAUUUUUCCGUCGUCGUGUACGCGUACGUGUUGCGACGUUGCCGUCC
This is a non-coding RNA of Cinara cedri, 1522 nucleotides long. The record is from the annotation of a GenBank genome assembly. Lineage: Eukaryota; Metazoa; Arthropoda; Insecta; Hemiptera; Aphididae.